This 435-nucleotide ribosomal RNA is filed under the name uncultured bacterium. RNAcentral describes it as "bacterial SSU rRNA". It matches the Rfam family "Bacterial small subunit ribosomal RNA", at positions 958 to 1392 of the family's 1533-position model. The record is from RNAcentral.
AACGCGAAGAACCUUACCUAAGCUUGACAUCCUUUUGACCGAUGCCUAAUCGCAUCUUUCCUUUCGGGGACAGAAGUGACAGGUGGUGCAUGGUUGUCGUCAGCUCGUGUCGUGAGAUGUUGGGUUAAGUCCCGCAACGAGCGCAACCCUUGCCUUUAGUUGCCAUCAUUAAGUUGGGCACUCUAGAGGGACUGCCAGGGAUAACCUGGAGGAAGGUGGGGAUGACGUCAAAUCAUCAUGCCCCUUAUGCUUAGGGCUACACACGUGCUACAAUGGGUGGUACAGAGGGCAGCCAAGUCGUGAGGCGGAGCUAAUCCCUUAAGGCCAUUCUCAGUUCGGAUUGUAGGCUGAAACUCGCCUACAUGAAGCUGGAGUUACUAGUAAUCGCAGAUCAGAAUGCUGCGGUGAAUGCGUUCCCGGGUCUUGUACACACCG